This 62-nucleotide transfer RNA is filed under the name Austropallene cornigera. RNAcentral's name for it is "tRNA-Asn". Lineage: Eukaryota; Metazoa; Arthropoda; Pycnogonida; Pantopoda; Callipallenidae. The record is from RNAcentral.
UUAACGAGAGCUAAUGCACUUCAUUGUUAUUGAAGAUUUUAAAGGAAAUUCUUUUCGUUAAU